This is a non-coding RNA of Paramuricea clavata, 250 nucleotides long. NCBI's taxonomy places the organism in Eukaryota, Metazoa, Cnidaria, Anthozoa, Malacalcyonacea, Plexauridae. The record is from the annotation of a GenBank genome assembly.
UAAUUUACAUUAGAGAGGUUAAGAUACCCCGGUUUCGGUGUACGGGUACGAGUAGUGUCAUCUUGUUUUACUAAUGUCUGUAAUUCGAUCAUACUUUUUCUGUUUUCUUGCAAUAGACAAUGAUAUAAUGCGAAAAAUGCGCACCUUAAUUAGAGUAAAUUAAGGUACAGACAUCGACGAAAAUAUUGCUAACCAAAAUCAUGCUACCCGUACACGUACACCGAAACCGGGGUAUCUUAACCUCUCUAUU